UACUUAGGAAUCUACCUAGUAGUGGGGGAUAGCUCGGGGAAACUCGAAUUAAUACCGCAUACGACCUACGGGAGAAAGGGGGCAACUUGUUGCUCUCGCUAUUAGAUGAGCCUAAGUCGGAUUAGCUAGAUGGUGGGGUAAAGGCCUACCAUGGCGACGAUCUGUAGCUGGUCUGAGAGGAUGAUCAGCCACACCGGGACUGAGACACGGCCCGGACUCCUACGGGAGGCAGCAGUGGGGAAUAUUGGACAAUGGGGGCAACCCUGAUCCAGCCAUGCCGCGUGUGUGAAGAAGGCCUUUUGGUUGUAAAGCACUUUAAGCAGUGAAGAAGACUCUAUGGUUAAUACCCAUAGACGAUGACAUUAGCUGCAGAAUAAGCACCGGCUAACUCUGUGCCAGCAGCCGCGGUAAUACAGAGGGUGCAAGCCGUUAAUCGGAAUUACUGGGCGUAAAGCGAGCGUAGGUGGCUUGAUAAGUCAGAUGUGAAAGCCCCGGGCUUAACCUGGGAACGGCAUCUGAUACUGUUAGGCUAGAGUAGGUGAGAGGAAGGUAGAAUUCCAGGUGUAGCGGUGAAAUGCGUAGAGAUCUGGAGGAAUACCGAUGGCGAAGGCAGCCUUCUGGCAUCAUACUGACACUGAGGUUCGAAAGCGUGGGUAGCAAACAGGAUUAGAUACCCUGGUAGUCCACGCCGUAAACGAUGUCUACUUAGUCGUUGGGUCCCUUGAGGACUUAGUGACGCAGCUAACGCAAUAAGUAGACCGCCUGGGGAGUACGGCCGCAAGGUUAAAACUCAAAUGAAUUGACGGGGGCCCGCACAAGCGGUGGAGCAUGUGGUUUAAUUCGAUGCAACGCGAAGAACCUUACCUGGUCUUGACAUAUCUAGAAUCCUGCAGAGAUGCGGGAGUGCCUUCGGGAAUUAGAAUACAGGUGCUGCAUGGCUGUCGUCAGCUCGUGUCGUGAGAUGUUGGGUUAAGUCCCGCAACGAGCGCAACCCUUGUCCUUAGUUACCAGCGGUUUGGCCGGGAACUCUAAGGAUACUGCCAGUGACAAACUGGAGGAAGGCGGGGACGACGUCAAGUCAUCAUGGCCCUUACGACCAGGGCUACACACGUGCUACAAUGGUAGGUACAGAGGGCAGCUACACAGCGAUGUGAUGCGAAUCUCAAAAAGCCUAUCGUAGUCCAGAUUGGAGUCUGCAACUCGACUCCAUGAAGUAGGAAUCGCUAGUAAUCGCGGAUCAGAAUGCCGCGGUGAAUACGUUCCCGGGCCUUGUACACACCGCCCGUCACA
Molecule: ribosomal RNA, 1290 nt
Filed under: Psychrobacter sp. BCcN16A2
Lineage: Bacteria; Pseudomonadati; Pseudomonadota; Gammaproteobacteria; Moraxellales; Moraxellaceae
Description: bacterial SSU rRNA
Rfam family: Bacterial small subunit ribosomal RNA
Source: RNAcentral